Molecule: ribosomal RNA, 382 nt
Filed under: Bathycoccus sp.
Lineage: Eukaryota; Viridiplantae; Chlorophyta; Mamiellophyceae; Mamiellales; Bathycoccaceae
Description: partial small subunit ribosomal RNA
Rfam family: Eukaryotic small subunit ribosomal RNA
Source: RNAcentral
AUUCCAGCUCCAAUAGCGUAUAUUUAAGUUGUUGCAGUUAAAAAGCUCGUAGUUGGAUUUUGGUUAAGAGGGCGCGGUCGGCCGUUUGGUCUGUACUGCGUUGUCUUGACUUCCUGAUGAGGACAUGCUCUUGGUUAACGCUGAGACAUGGAGUCAUCGUGGUUACUUUGAAAAAAUUAGAGUGUUCAAAGCGGGCUUACGCUUGAAUAUAUUAGCAUGGAAUAACACUAUAGGACUCCUGUCCUAUCUCGUUGGUCUCGGGAUGGGAGUAAUGAUUAACAGGGACAGUCAGGGGCACUCGUAUUCCGCCGAGAGAGGUGAAAUUCUCAGACCAGCGGAAGACGAACCACUGCGAAAGCAUUUGCCAGAGAUGUUUUCAUCG